UACGUAGGGGGCAAGCGUUGUCCGGAAUCAUUGGGCGUAAAGCGCGCGUAGGCGGCCCGGUAAGUCCGCUGUAAAAGUCCAGGGCUCAACCCUGGAAAGCCGGUGGAUACUGUCGGGCUAGAGUCCGGAAGAGGCGAGUGGAAUUCCUGGUGUAGCGGUGGAAUGCGCAGAUAUCAGGAGGAACACCGAUGGCGAAGGCAGCUCGCUGGGACGGUACUGACGCUGAGGCGCGAAGCGUGGGGAGCGAACAGG
This 252-nucleotide ribosomal RNA is filed under the name uncultured bacterium. RNAcentral's name for it is "partial 16S ribosomal RNA". It matches the Rfam family "Bacterial small subunit ribosomal RNA", at positions 524 to 776 of the family's 1533-position model. The record is from RNAcentral.